This 253-nucleotide ribosomal RNA is filed under the name uncultured bacterium. RNAcentral describes it as "partial 16S ribosomal RNA". It matches the Rfam family "Bacterial small subunit ribosomal RNA", at positions 524 to 776 of the family's 1533-position model. The record is from RNAcentral.
UACGAAGGGGGCUAGCGUUGCUCGGAAUCACUGGGCGUAAAGGGUGCGUAGGCGGGUUUUUAAGUCAGGGGUGAAAUCCUGGAGCUCAACUCCAGAACUGCCUUUGAUACUGAAGAUCUUGAGUCCGGGAGAGGUGAGUGGAACUCCGAGUGUAGAGGUGAAAUUCGUAGAUAUUCGGAAGAACACCAGUGGCGAAGGCGGCUCACUGGCCCGGUACUGACGCUGAUGUGCGAAAGCGUGGGGAGCAAACAGG